Long non-coding RNA from Austrofundulus limnaeus, 570 nucleotides. RefSeq lists it as uncharacterized. The transcript has 3 exons. The record is from RefSeq and is a predicted model, not a curated record. NCBI's taxonomy places the organism in Eukaryota, Metazoa, Chordata, Actinopteri, Cyprinodontiformes, Rivulidae.
GUAGAGAGGAGCUUCACCAGAGUCUAUAAACAUUUGACAUUUUCCUUCAGGAUUAGGACAUCUCUGAUACAAGAGGACAGCUUCUGAAACAUGUCUGUGAAAAGAAGAAGAGGAGAUAUACUGUAUGGAUGCAGUCAGAGAGGACACGGUUGGAGUGAGGACAGAGGACACAGAGGACAGAGUGAGACGGAGGAGGAUGAUAAAAGAAGAAGAUGCAGCCUGCAGAUUACUCACAGGUCAUCGUGACAAGCUGCUCGCCACAGGACAUGAACGUGACGGAGGCAGACUCCAUGUGCGUUUUGGAGAAAACCUGCUGGCUCUGCUGCUGCCUGCUCGGCUAUGACUCAAUGUUGACACCUGUCACACGGAAAGCAUCAACAAACCCAACAGACUGGAGAAAUGUGAGCAGAUAUGUUAUCGAAAUGUGUGUCUAGACAAGCAGCCAGAGCGCAGCGCGGUGUUAUCGUGCGCCGUUUUUCACCUCCUGCCUGGAGCUGCUCCUGGCAAGCAGGGACUGGAGCCUGCUGAGGUCAUACGAAGCCCUGGAACACAGACUCCACACGUGAUUUA